GCAUUUAUUCCAGGAGCCAGGCUUUUGUCUCAGGUCCUCUGCUGAGGAACUCUAAGUUGGUUUGUAUGUGCUUGGCUCUGGGCUCCAUUGUGGCCUAGUAGAGCGUGGGAGAGCCUGGCUGCCAGGAGCCAUGGCACAGGUCCUUUGAGGUUCGGGUUCACAUUUCAGCCUUGCUGGCUCGGGCACCUGGCAGCCGCCCAUGGUAAGUGAGGGACUGCUGUCUCCAGACAGGAAGAAGUGGCUAGCCAUGGAUGCAGUGACCUAUAAUGAUAUGCAUGUUAACUUCACUUGGGAAGAGUGCGCUUUGCUGGAUUCUUCCCAGAAGAAUCUCUACAAAGAUGUGAUGCUAGAGACCUAAAAGCAUGUACCUCACUACUAUAGGCAUGAAAGAAAUCAUCCUGGAGAGAAACCUUCUGAAUAUACACAAUGUAUUAAAGGCUUUGCAGAUCACUUUCAUCUUCAAUAGCAUAAAAGAAUUCGUACUGGAGAGAAACCUUCUGACAGUAUUCAAUAUGAUGAAGCCUUUGCAUGUCACAAGAAUCCCCAAACUCAUCAAAGAACACAUACUAGAGAGAAACCCUAUGUGGUAAUCAAUGUGGUAAAACCUUUGUAUGUCAAAGUAGUCUCCAUAUACAUAAAAGUAUUUUCAUGUAUCAGUAAUCUUUGAAAACAUAAGAAAAUACUGCAGAGAAACCCUCUAAAUGUAUAAAGAUGAUCAAAGUUUUGCAAAUCAUGGUAGUCUUUAUACAAGAGUAAAACUUUUAGUGUGUAAUUAGUACAUUAAAGCCAUUGUAUGUAAUAGACUUUGAAGAUCCAAUAAAACUCAUACCAAAGAGUAUCUGAAUAUAAAUCAUUUGAUAAGAUCUUUAGCUAAUACACAUUCAGUUACACAGGACUAUUCUGUAGAAAAAAUGACAA
RNAcentral lists this long non-coding RNA (918 nucleotides) under Cricetulus griseus (Chinese hamster). RNAcentral describes it as "lncRNA (ENSCGRG00015035453.1)". Lineage: Eukaryota; Metazoa; Chordata; Mammalia; Rodentia; Cricetidae. The record is from RNAcentral.